Molecule: ribosomal RNA, 253 nt
Filed under: uncultured bacterium
Lineage: Bacteria
Description: partial 16S ribosomal RNA
Rfam family: Bacterial small subunit ribosomal RNA
Source: RNAcentral
UACGAAGGGGGCUAGCGUUGCUCGGAAUCACUGGGCGUAAAGGGUGCGUAGGCGGGUCUUUAAGUCAGGGGUGAAAUCCUGGAGCUCAACUCCAGAACUGCCUUUGAUACUGAAGAUCUUGAGUCCGGGAGAGGUGAGUGGAACUGCGAGUGUAGAGGUGAAAUUCGUAGAUAUUCGCAAGAACACCAGUGGCGAAGGCGGCUCACUGGCCCGGUACUGACGCUGAGGUGCGAAAGCGUGGGGAGCGAUCCGG